This 478-nucleotide ribosomal RNA is filed under the name uncultured bacterium. RNAcentral describes it as "bacterial SSU rRNA". It matches the Rfam family "Bacterial small subunit ribosomal RNA", at positions 28 to 506 of the family's 1533-position model. The record is from RNAcentral.
GACGAACGCUGGCGGCGUGCCUAACACAUGCAAGUCAACUUGACUGAAGGAGCAAUCUGACAGUAGAGUGGCGCAAGGGUGCGUAACGCGUAAGUAACUUGCCCCAAGGUAAGGAAUAACGUCGAGAAAUCGGCGCUAAUACCUCAUAAUGCAGCGGAUCCGCAUGGAUAUGUUGUUAAAGGUUUACCGCCUUGGGAUAGGCUUGCGUCUGAUUAGUUAGUUGGUGUGGUAACGGCACACCAAGGCUACGAUCAGUAACUGGUCUGAGAGGAUGAUCAGUCACACUGGAACUGAGACACGGUCCAGACUCCUACGGGAGGCAGCAGUGAGGAAUAUUGGGCAAUGCUCGAAAGAGUGACCCAGCAACGCCGCGUGGAGGAUGAAGGUAUUCUAUAUCGUAAACUCCUGUGAGAGCAGACGAAGACAGAUUAUUAAUCUGGAUGACUGUAUGCUCAGAGGAAGCCCCGGCUAACUACGU